UCUUGUGACCGUUGGAGCAGCAAAUGGGGCACGUGAGACAGCUGGUGACAGGCUGGCCGGGAAUGGCCAAAAGGUAAAGCACCUUUUGGAGCAGGACCACACAUGAGACAAUCUGGGUUGUCCAAUUCAAACUGAGCAAAUCUGGCCAUUGAUUCUUCAUCCUAUCUUCUCCACUUUACAGCUUGCACAAGACCACUCCAAGACCAGAUCCUGAUCAUCCAUCUUCAAGUCUUUUAUCAGCCAUUAGAUCUAGGUUAUGAUAUUGGAAAUGUACAGCUCAUAUAUAAGCCUUAGGUUGGCGAUUUGUAACACUCAAGGGAGUGAGGGGGAGUUUCCCUCUCCACUUCAUGAUAAACUUGUUCUUGAAUCUGAAACCCUAAUCUCUAAUCUCUUAUUCUCCUAAUCUCUCAGUAUCUUAAUCUAUGUUCCUAAAUCUCUUAUUCUCCCAUAAACACUCUCAUUAAUCUGUCUUUCUAAAUCACCUAGAGCAAGCUCUCAUCAUUUUCCAUUGGAGUUUAUACACACACAUACAACCAGACAAGAGAACUCUACAAAUCUCAUACGUCUCUCGUAUAACUUCAGAUACAGCGACUGAGAACCAGAAGAACACUACAGUGACUGAUCAGAACACUAUUUCUAUGUCUGUGUCUGAUGAAUCUAAAAGUACUGCUCUCACUGAUUCAGUUGAUAACUCACCCCAGGCUGGAGCUGUAAGUGAUGAAACUGUUGAAUGUUCUUGGAUCAAAUAGAGCUUGAAUUUGAAGGUAUGUUAAGAUCUCAAUCUUUAUUUCUCAUAGUGAUUGUGUUUAUGGUUUAAUAGGAUGUUGAAUCAAGAAAAGGUCUUCUUAGAAAGUCAAAUCUUAGUGAUUGUUUCUUGAUUAAUUGCGGCUCAUCUCAAUGGUCUUAACCAAGCGGGAUCCGAUGGUAUCAAGGCCGAGUCUUUUCUGCUGAGAGACGAAAGAUGUUGGAAGGCAUGGUUGCCUAAGACAUGUUUUGUAUUAAAACAGAUAUAACUAUGAACGCAGACUGCAGAGGUGGACUUAGGAUAAGUAGGUGUCUGAGAAGAUGUUGGGAGUGGUCGGGUGGACUGGUAAUGGGUUCACACAAUAACAAGAAGAAAGAAGGAUCCAUAAUUAAUCAAGAACAUCUCCUUUUCGCUUUAAGUUUCAUUUUUGAAUUAGGGAGAUUGAUGCUUUUGAUUCUUGCAGAGAUGGUUAUGAUAAUGUAUGGAAAUGUUAUAUGAUCAAAAGAAAAUCUAAUACUAAUAAAAAAUUAAAAAAAAAUAAAAAUAAUAUUUUUACUUCAAAUUUUAAACCCUAAACAUGCCCUAAACUUCAACAAUUUGUAGUUUACAAUUUAUGCAAUAUAUUUUUACCAAUGAAAAAUAAUGAGGAUGAUUAACAAAAGAAUGAUAACUGAUAUUUAUAAAGUUAUAUUUAAAAUUUUGAUUUGUAAAAUAACAUUCCUUUAUGAUUGCUCAAUAAAUUUGAAAUUUCAUAAUAAAAUAAAGAUUGUGUUUAGAGAUUAAAUUAGCAUUUAUGGUUUGAGGUUUAGAUUUAAUAAUUGAAGAAGAUUUUAUAAAAUGUUUAAUUUCGAAUUUAAACAUAAGAUUUGAGAUUAAAAUAAAAAAAAAAUGUUUAAGUUUUAAGAGUUGUGUGUUGAAGUUUAGGGUUUCAACCCUAACCCCUAAACAUAAACUUUAAAACUUCAAUUUUUUUCAUAAUAUAACUUUAGUCUUAAAUUUAAAUUCAAAAUUUAAUCAUUUUAAAAAUACAAUCUAAACUUCAAAUUAUAAACCUCAAACAGUAAAUCAUAAAUCUACAUCCUAAAUCUAAUCCCUAAACUCCAAAUUUAAACCUUGCAUACAAAAUUUUAAAACUCUAAUCUUUUAUUAUUUAAUUUCAAAUCUUAAAUUUAAUCUUAAAAUCUAAUAUUAAAUCUUAAAUCUAUACACAAAACAAUAUCCGAACCCUAAAUUUAAUCUUUUCACAAUUCACUCUCAAAUCUUAAACUUCAAAUUUCAAACUUAAACUUUAUACCUCAAAUCAUAAAACCUAAACUUCAAAGCUUAUAUCUAAUCUAAAACCAUAUACUUAAUUCAAAUAUUCAAAACCAUAAUUCUAUACCCUAAACUUUAUUUCGUUGACCAUAAUUCUAAUUCAUAUACUCUAAACACUAAUAACAAAGUUUAAAUUUUUAAAAUUUAAAUUCAAAUAUAAAUUAAUUUUUUCAAAUUUGAAAUUGUGAAAUCUAAAUCUGUAAAUUUUGUAUCAGAAUAAUUUAUGUACAUUGCAAUUUUACCACUAAUACUUUGGGUAUUAAAACAAAAAUAGAAUAAGAAAGGAGUUACAAAUAUUUGAUUGGUCAAAACAAACUGACCAAUAAUGUACAAGGGUGGAGAUCAGACCUUUUAAAUCACAACCGUUGAUUAACCUAAAUCUAAUGGACAAGAUCUUGUCUCUCUAAUCUCUUCUCAUGUGUUUCUUCCUGUCCAUUUCUCUUCUCUUUUGUUUCCACUUUUUUUUCUUCGUUAAUCAUGCUCCCUAAUCUCACAGAUCUUGUCUCUGUAUUAUCUUUCUUCAUCACCACUAAACCUUUGUCACCAGCAGAUCUCGUCAUCGUCUCCACCAUAUCUCGUCGUUGUUACAGCCAUAGCUUCGUCACCACCAUAGCUUGUCCAUCGAGGCGAGGAUGAAAAAUUGUUUGACCUCCUCACCACUACGACAUUGAAAAAGGCGGAGGAGGCUGAAGAAGCUUGAUGGUUGUGGUCUCGGCGUCAACAAUGGUGGUCUCGGCGUCAACAAUGGUGGUCUCGACUUCGUCAAUGGUAGCUUAGAGCGGUGGAGGGGGCUGAAUAAGCUUACCUGUGGUGUUCUUGGCUGGUGGUCUCGGCCUCAAAGAUGAAGAAACCGAAGGAGCUGAAGUCGACGGCGAAGGAGAUGAAGUUGACGGCAAAAAGUUUAGAUGUAGGGUUAAUUUUUUUUAUUAGGUUAAACUUUUUAGUUUUACAUUUCCAAACCGGGUUUUGUAAACUAGAAUUUAUUUGUAAACCAAAAUUAAUUAUAUUUGGUAGUUUUAAUUUUUAAUUAA
Long non-coding RNA from Brassica napus (rape), 3090 nucleotides. RefSeq lists it as uncharacterized. The record is from RefSeq and is a predicted model, not a curated record. The transcript has 5 exons. NCBI's taxonomy places the organism in Eukaryota, Viridiplantae, Streptophyta, Magnoliopsida, Brassicales, Brassicaceae.